This 253-nucleotide ribosomal RNA is filed under the name uncultured bacterium. Its description in RNAcentral is "partial 16S ribosomal RNA". It matches the Rfam family "Bacterial small subunit ribosomal RNA", at positions 524 to 776 of the family's 1533-position model. The record is from RNAcentral.
UACGUAGGGGGCAAGCGUUGUCCGGAAUCAUUGGGCGUAAAGCGCGCGUAGGCGGCCCUGUAAGUCCGCUGUAAAAGUCAAAGGCUCAACCUUUGAAAGCCGGUGGAUACUGCAGGGCUAGAGUCCGGAAGAGGCGAGUGGAAUUCCUGGUGUAGCGGUGAAAUGCGCAGAUAUCAGGAGGAACACCAAUGGCGAAGGCAGCUCGCUGGGACGUGACUGACGCUGAGACGCGAAAGCGUGGGGAGCAAACAGG